Long non-coding RNA from Branchiostoma belcheri (Belcher's lancelet), 957 nucleotides. RefSeq lists it as uncharacterized. The transcript has 4 exons. Lineage: Eukaryota; Metazoa; Chordata; Leptocardii; Amphioxiformes; Branchiostomatidae. The record is from RefSeq and is a predicted model, not a curated record.
UCUUCAGCGCGAAGGGAAGUCGCUAUCGACACGGCGGUCUGCACGUCGAAAUGUGAGGGAAACGACGGUGCCAAAAACGUCCAGGUCAUCACCACACCGACAGGAAUUUACCUGAAUUUCGGCGGGUUCAAACAUAACGUUAAUAUUCCGGCGAGGAGACCCGCAAUGUAAAGGGAAUGGAGGUGCUAAACCUCCACACCCCAGAGCAUCACUACACCGAGAAGAAUUUGAGGGCUCAAACCUAACGUUGAUUUUACGACGAGGAGACCCGCAUCAUAAAGGACUACACGUGAAGACAUCCUAACUAGGAAAGAAACCCAAAGAGAAGGACGGCCUGUGCCAGAAAUAUGACAAGGUCGGAUUUAGGAUGCAAGAAGCAGGGAAGGAGACAUCUCUCAGCAUCUUCCAGGACCUUGUUGUUGCCUUCAACUACACGUCUCAUGGGAAAAGGCUUUAAGGGAUGAAAAAAAGGUUAGUGAUUUGUGAUGUGCAUUAAGUAGCUUUUGGCACCAAACUUAGAAUUAACUCUGUGUAUCUGAGACAUUUUCGACAGGGAUAAUCAACUUUCUUGGUUGUUGGCAAGGUGGUUGAGUUUGCUUUGGUGACAUCCUGAGUGACAUUGCUGGUUUGGGGUUGGAGCAUUUUGAGAUUUUUGGCUCCUUUUGCACACAUGGCUUUAGUCUGUUUCUGUGGGAUACAGGUCCGAUGUAUGGUUGAUUUGGUUUCUGUGACUAUGCCGGGGGCUGGGAUUGUGUUUGGAGUUGCUGCAAAGUUCAGUCCUCUAGAAAACGGAGACUUCCCUACGUUCUGUUAGCCCGUGAUUAUUUAGGUAUCUUGUACUGCCUGACCUUCUUUCUGCAUUAUGUGAUUGUCAGUGGGUCGGGAACCCUGACCAUUACAUAAGCUGCCUUGUGAAUGAAAUAAUGGGGCGGGGGUGGAUCAUCUGGUUCUGGGGUA